GGGAGGAGUAUUUUACAGAAGAGACACUCCCAGCUAGCUUUAGAAAAUGAAGACAAAGAACACUGUUACACCAAUGGUUUGAUAUACCGUAAAAAUAGAAAAGACAGGUACUUGAUACGUAGAAGCUUGUCCAAGAUGACGAUGACAAGCUCAAUGUUGGAAUAGGCUAGUGAAAUCUUACUCUAGUCGUUCAAAUUUACUUGAAUUGAAGACAAUCUUUCCUAAAUCCCUGUGUUAUAGUUACGAUCAUUUAC
This 254-nucleotide unclassified non-coding RNA is filed under the name Hevea brasiliensis (rubber tree). Lineage: Eukaryota; Viridiplantae; Streptophyta; Magnoliopsida; Malpighiales; Euphorbiaceae. The record is from RNAcentral.